This 63-nucleotide transfer RNA is filed under the name Saccostrea cuccullata (small rock oyster). RNAcentral's name for it is "Saccostrea cucullata (small rock oyster) tRNA-Glu". RNAcentral also lists the same sequence under 1 other name. The record is from RNAcentral. Lineage: Eukaryota; Metazoa; Mollusca; Bivalvia; Ostreida; Ostreidae.
UUCGGGCUAGUGUAAGUAGCACAUAAAAUUUUCACUUUUACAGAGGGGUUUUCCCGCCCGAAU